GAACCGCCUAUGAAAGACACACUUGGCCACAUCUCGCGAUUCCUUAGCAUCAUACUCUCUGUUGACACCCAUAUUUGAGAUUCACUAGCACUGGCUGGAUUAUGACUGUUGCUACUGUUGGUAUCCCAAAUCUGACUGAGUGAUUUGAUCACCUUGGUUUCGUUGUGAUUGUUUCCUCGAGCCUCUUCUGUUUCAGCUUGCUCUUUAGUAGCCGCCCAGCUUUCUGAGUUGACAAGAAGAACUUUUGCUCCUUCGUUGCCAACUCUUUGAAGCUCGUGACGGAAAGCCUGUCGUUUCUCUGGAGCUGCCUGCCAAAUUACAUAGCUCAUUACAUCACCAAGUAAGCGAAAUACAAUGUUCUUAUAGCAUGCAAAGAAAUUAAGAAAAACAAUUUAAUCUUCCACAUUAAAGGGUGCGUAAAUAAACCCAGAAGGGGCAAACCAAACCAAAAUCAGUAACCCUAAUUCCUAAACUCAUCAACAAAAUUUGUUUACAGUUUUUAAAUUUUGAUCUCGUUAUUUUGAAUCCCAAAUACCGAAACCAAAAUCAUUUUUAACCAAACCAAAUAAACUGAAAUUCAUUAAAAUAAUAUAUUAUAUAUUAUGUGUGUAUAUACAGUUAUGUAUAAAAUAUAUAUACAUACUAGAUAAUUAUAAAUUAUAAUACUGAUUAAACCCUUUUCCGUAUAAAAAUUGAACCAAAAACAAAAGCAAACGAAAAUUCCAACAAACCAAGUUAAAAACAAAAUCGAAAUUACAUAUUUUUUAGGAAAAAAUUGGAUAAAUACACUUCUAUGAGAUUUUAGUUUGAAAACUACACCACUACUUAAGGUUUUUGAAAAAUACACUUUGUUAUAUGUAAAUUUACUAAAUUAUCCAAUCUGAAUAUUUAAUAUUAUUAACAAAAAUUUAAUCAGCAUAAUUUAUUUAAUAUUUAAAUUAAAUAUUUUUAACAAAAAUUGUUUCUUUUAAAAUCUUAAUAAUAUCUACACAAUAUCUUUUAAAUAUAUCUUAAAUUUUUGUUUUUUAAGAAGAAGAAAAAAGAAUAAGCUGCGUCUCCUGCAUCUUCUUCUUUUUAAUCUUUUAGUUUUCCUUUCUGCAAAACAUUUUCCUUUUCUCUAGUUUACGUAGUCUCAGGCUUGUUAAUUCUUCACCCAUGUCCUUGAUUGUAAUUCGAUUUUGUAAACUUUCGUUUUCUUUUAUUCAUUUAAAGUUUUCUUGAUAGAACAUACUUGUCACAAGAAAAAAUAUAUUUUCUGGGAAUGACGUGACUUUUCUUUUGUAGAAGAGUAAGAAGACUGAUGUUGUAGGGAAAGUUUUUUUUAUAUAAGGUUUAGAAGGUUAAAGCACAGUAUAAUUUAUAUUUUAAAUUUUGAAAUGGUAAAAUAACACAUUUAUUUCAACAUAGAUUAAUUUAGGGGAAUUUUCAUGUUUACCACCACUAUUUUUAACGAUAAUAAUUUUAUUAAUUUCAAAUUUUUAUUUUAUUUAUUCAAAUAUUUAAUAUGGAUACUAAUGUCUUUUUCACAUUUCAUAAAUUGUAGUUUUCAAAAACUAAAAAUGAAAGUGUAAUUUUCAAAUUUUAAACUAUUAAUAGAGUAUUUUUCAAGUUGUCAUUUUUUUAUAUUCGUUUAGACUUCUAGAGAAAAAUUGUAACAAGACCCCAAAAAGAGUUAAAAAUAAUUAGUUGGGUUUUUCAUUAAAGAAAUAUGCAUUAACUCCUAAGCCUUAUUUUUAAAACACUGAUUCAACUUGUAAGCUUUAAAAGCUCUUAUUUGGGUUUCAUGAAAUGGUAAUGAAAGGAACCUGUAUCUCUGAAAGAAUGCAGCCAUGCAUUGCCAUGACCGUGAAAGCACAAUGCCUUACUGCACCACUAAGUUUCACAUAGUUUAUCCAGGGAUGGUUAAGCGUUCUGUAUGGUCCAUGUGGAGGCUCCCACCUGGCAAACUCAAGCUGCCACACAAACAUUAAAAUAAAGAGAUCUUAAUGUUAAUAUCAUCCAAAUUCGUUUUAGCUAGUUGUCUUAGUUUCAAACAUACCAGAGAAUCUUCUUCACUUGUAGACUGAACAGCUGAUCUGUACCCGCUGUAUAAUGGAUCAUCUGAAGCUUGGUAUAUAAGAAUCUUCGAAGGUAUUCUCUCGUAUUCCACACAUUGCAAGUAACCAUUCACACAUCCUAAAUGUGUACGAAAAAACACCUGAAAAUUAGUUAAAGCACAUGAAAAUGAAAUGCCAAGUUAUGUUUGUUACCUUCUAGUGAAUUUGCUACACUUUUGAAAUUUGUAGCCACCAGUUUAUGGAGAUCUUCCCCGGCCCAUAUUGGAGAUAUAAAUAUAUUCACAACCAAACAGAUGGUUGCACCAAGCACAAUAAACAAAGACCUGUAAUACGCGGUACUAAAGAACUCUCCCGUGUUGUUUCCAGAAACAAGGACGAUACAGUAUGUUAACAAGAACACCCUGAACGCAUACUCAUAUGCCUUCAUGGCUGGGUGGAGUUUCAAAUAACUAGCACUGAAACCUGAUAGAUCAAGGUCAUAUAGAAAGUGUUGUUAUCUACAUAAAAACCUGACGUAUCAGUCAAUGAAAUUCGGUAACCUGCAAGUAAAAUGAAUAUGAUGAUUAUAAAUUGCUCGAAAUCUCCUGAUAGAACAGAGAGCCUGGCGAUGCCAAGAGCAAGUCCCCCAGCAGAGAAUGUGCCUAAAGCUCUGUUGAACCCUUUGACCAACGUUGCACCUACGAAUUAAACAUGCAAGAAUCUAAGUGGACGAAAAGUAGGGGUGGACAAAAAAACCGAACCGAACCGAACCAAACCGACCGAACCGAAACCGAUUCAAACCAAACCAAAGUCUAUUUCAAACAAUUCGGUUGAAGAUUUUUCCAACACAAAAACCGAUGUGUUUUUGUAAUUAUUUAAAUUAAAAAUAUUAGUAAUACCAAUAUACUAAAAUUCUAAUACCAAACCACAUAUUUUCCAUUAUUCAUUCAUUAAAAUAUAUUCUUCUAACUGAAAUCAUUAAAAUAUUUGAUUUACAAAAAUAGAAAAGUUUGUAUUUUUAUAUUCUUAUAUAUGUAAACGUGGAUGUUAAAACUAAACCUAAAACCUAAAACCUAAAGCAAAAUUUAUUAAACAAAAAAAUUCUUCUCCACAGGGUCACAUGUAAGAUGAUUCAUUACAGGUUUUUUAAUAAUGAUAUAAGAGACAUUACUAAUGAUGUCUUUUUUUUUAUUUUAAUAAGCUUUCAUUUUUUAACUCUUAUAUAUUUUUCUGACUUUUUAAAGGUUUUUAUUUCAAAAAUAUUGAAUUUAGUUCGCAUAGUUUAUGUUUACAUAGUUUCUCUUAAAAAAAAUUAAACUAAGAAAAACCUAAUUAAACUGAUCCAAAAAACAAACCGAAGCGAACACAAACCAAAGCGAACACAAACCAAACAGAACUAAACCAAACUAACUAUGGUUUAUUUCAGUUAGAAAAAUACUAGAACCAAACUAACCAAACCGAACCGAACCCUAACCGACCCAGAAAAUAACCGAAGUGCCCACCCCUAAUGAAAAGAGUCGCACAAAUAAGUUUUUUUUGGGUAAAAUAUUAAAUUAUACUAAGUUUUUAAUUUGUAGACAAAAUUUACAAGGACAAUUUGUAGUGGAAAAUAAACGCCAAAACCUAAAGGCAAUGAAAGAACCCUGUAGUAUGAUAAAUAUUUUCUUAUAUUAAACUUUUUUUGAAUUUUCAUAACUCAUUGUAAAAAAUAUUUAAAGUAAAAAUACUGAUUUUAUAUUUGAAAUCAAAAUAUUGAUUAUAUAUUUGAUUUCCGUUGGUUUGUACUUAGAUUUUAUUUCAUAGUUAUUUUGAUUAUUAAAAACUUAAUAACUAAACUUUAUUAAGUUCGAAAACUUGCAGAAGAUAACAAACAACACAUUUAUUUCUAAUUUUAUUGUAUGAUCGAAUUAAGUUAAAUUCAGUUGAAUCUGAUUAAACACGUACGGUCUAACCAUAUUGACCAUAACCCAACAUAAUUUUGGUUUAGUUACCUAUCCGAUUUUAAAAAUAUUGGUUUAGUUCAAAUGUCUAUGUGAUAAUAAAUGCCUGAACAUGGCCAACACCGCUGAAUUUGUAGAUCGAAUAGUUAAAAUAGAGAGAGAGAAUCCAAAUACAGGGGCUUAGUAAGUUCCUAUUUAGUAAUAGAAGAGAAUGUAUAGUGAACCAGCGCCAUAAUCUUACUAGGAUUGGUGCACAGGGGAAAUUGCCAUGAAAUGAAUUUCCUAGAACACUCAAAACCUCGUAAAGAUCCAACCAAACAACAAACAUCCUCCCCAAAAUCGAAUAGUAAAAACAAAGAUCGAAUAAAAUACCUACGGAAUAUUCGAAAACCACAACAACAGUAAGGAUGGCCCAGACAUAGAAUUUACUGGCAGCGUGCAGAGGCUCUUUAAGGAAAAUAAGGAAGGAGCAAAUGGCAAGAGCCAUUCCCAUCUUGACGGCAAAGAAGAGCUUCCGACGAUCAGAAUGCCACAAGUUACAGAUCCCGCAGAAGCGUCGUCUUGAGUCAUUAAAUCCGAAACCUGAGUAUCUUUUCCGAGAGAGAAGCCCCUCUCUGCUUUGCUCUGGACCUGACCCCAUAUUGCCUGCUAUUUUCUCCAUAUUAAAGAGAACCUUAUUGUCCUAUAAAUACAAAGAGGGAUUAACUUGUAUGUACGUUGCAUUUACGUUCCUCCCAUUAAUGCAUGCCUUCUAAAUUCAAGUUAUUGUAUUUACCAUUUUUGUUCCCUUUCGUAUAAUAAAGAAUCGAAGAAAACGGAGUUUGUGGACCUGUGAG
Long non-coding RNA from Brassica rapa (field mustard), 4812 nucleotides. RefSeq lists it as uncharacterized. The record is from RefSeq and is a predicted model, not a curated record. NCBI's taxonomy places the organism in Eukaryota, Viridiplantae, Streptophyta, Magnoliopsida, Brassicales, Brassicaceae.